AAUCAACGCUGGCGGCGUGCCUAACACAUGCAAGUCGAACGCGAAAAGGGCUUCGGCUCUGAGUAGAGUGGCGUCCGGGUGAGUAACGCGUGGGUAAUCUACCUUUGGGUGGGGAAUAACUAGUCGAAAGGCUAGCUAAUACCGCAUAACGCAAUUUUCUAUUAGGGAAUUGUUAAAGCAGUAAUGUGCCUAAAGAUGAGCCUGCGUCUGAUUAGUUUGUUGGUAGGGUAAUGGCCUACCAAGACUACUAUCAGUAGCUGGUCUGAGAGGACGGCCAGCCACAAUGGCACUGAAACACGGGCCAUACUCCUACGGGAGGCAGCAGUGGGGAAUAUUGCACAAUGGGCGAAAGCCUGAUGCAGCAACGCCGCGUGAGCGAUGAAGGCCUUCGGUCGUAAGACUCUGUCCUCAAGGAAGAUAAUGACGGUACUUGUAGGAGGAAGGCCCCGGCUAACUACGUGCCAGCAGCCGCGGUAAGGCACGACUGU
This 488-nucleotide ribosomal RNA is filed under the name uncultured bacterium. RNAcentral describes it as "bacterial SSU rRNA". It matches the Rfam family "Bacterial small subunit ribosomal RNA", at positions 32 to 532 of the family's 1533-position model. The record is from RNAcentral.